This is a ribosomal RNA of 413 nucleotides. It matches the Rfam family "Bacterial small subunit ribosomal RNA", at positions 55 to 462 of the family's 1533-position model.
AUGCAAGUCGAGCGGAGUUGUUCCUUCGGGGACAGCUUAGCGGCGGACGGGUGAGUAACACGUAGGCAACCUGCCUGCAAGACCGGGAUAACCCACGGAAACGUGAGCUAAUACCGGAUAGAUGGUYCCCUCGCAUGAGGGGAUCAGGAAAGACGGGGCAACCUGUCACUUGYAGAUGGGCCUGCGGCGCAUUAGCUAGUUGGCGAGGUAACGGCUCACCAAGGCGACGAUGCGUAGCCGACCUGAGAGGGUGAACGGCCACACUGGGACUGAGACACGGCCCAGACUCCUACGGGAGGCAGCAGUAGGGAAUCUUCCGCAAUGGACGAAAGUCUGACGGAGCAACGCCGCGUGAGUGAGGAAGGUCUUCGGAUCGUAAAGCUCUGUUGCCAAGGAAGAACGCUUGGUGGAGU